Molecule: long non-coding RNA, 811 nt
Filed under: Gossypium barbadense (sea-island cotton)
Lineage: Eukaryota; Viridiplantae; Streptophyta; Magnoliopsida; Malvales; Malvaceae
Description: long non-coding RNA (GBAR_LNC001973)
Source: RNAcentral
GGCAAGACCGGGCAAAAUUGACCUAUUUGAAAUCUUUCCUCUAUUCUCGUUACACGACAAUAAGCAAAGAGGGGCAGCUGUAGAGUCCAAUUUUAGCCCGGGGCCUAAACCAACACCAAAAAUAAAACAAAAAUAGAUUAAGUGAAGCUUAAACAGUCCAAAUACAGCAGCCCAUUUACAAUAGGCCCAAAAUUGAAGCCCAAACCAAACACCUAAACCCUAGCCCAAAUUUUCAGCCCAAAGCCUAAAGCAUUUUCGGCAAACCCUAGCCCCCAACUCCCUUGUGCCACAACUUCCAACUGCCCCCGCUUCAAGCGGCCUCCACCUCCACGCCCGCACUACUCGCGCCUCCACGUCAACACGCUUGUACUACCGUGAUACCUGAUGAGAAAAUAGCAGCAAGAGGAUAUUUUAUUUUUAUUAUUUUCGGCUAUAAAAAGCCCGAACAAUGUUUAUUUUAGGGUUUUUUUUACAAAGGGAAGAUAGAUCUAAAAAGCAACAGUUGUACAAAAAUCAAUAAAGAGCACAUCACGAAAUACGAAUAGAUUGAAGGGAUUAUUAUAAGGUUUUUUCUUUCUUUUAUUUGCUUUAUUUAUUUUUCUUUUGAAUCUUAUCUAUUUACAUAUAUAUAUUGACAUAUAUUUUGAAAAAUAUAUAAAACGAGGGAGGUACCUUUCUUCGCCUGGAGAAAGGAGCUUCGGCUGCCAUGCAUGUCGAUCACUGAUGACGAAGCCUGCGGUGGCUAUCUGCUGGAGUUUGGGUGAAAAUCGCAGGAUAAGAAGGGAGGUUGAGAGCCUUCUCUCUGUUUUUU